Molecule: long non-coding RNA, 8132 nt
Filed under: Triticum aestivum (bread wheat)
Lineage: Eukaryota; Viridiplantae; Streptophyta; Magnoliopsida; Poales; Poaceae
Description: long non-coding RNA (TAES_LNC016725)
Source: RNAcentral
GGGUGUACUUCUUCACACACGCUCUCGCCACUUAUCGCCCUGUACACGUCAUGUACCUCGACAACCUUCAAGCGGAAGCCGGGCGAGGGAGUUGGCCACGACCUACCUAAACACUCAAGUCUCUCGUCCAGGUUUAUCGCCUAUUCGGGUUCCAUCCGCAAGGAGAUCCGGCCGGGGUGUCGCUCACGGCCCCAAACGAUGUGUGCAGGGUUCCCGAGCCCACCAUCCGGGUGCCACUCGGUACACCAGGCCACGUGUGCCUAGUCUGUCCCAAGCCCACCCUGUCGGGUGCCACUUGGUAGAAAAAUAGCACUACCUACAAACACCAGAAACUAGUUGCAACUCCUGGACAGAGAAUAAGGGUGAUUAAGAAGCCGAGAGGGGCACUUAAGCAUUCCAAUGCGUGGUAGUAACUGUUCAUGGAUCACAGACACAGAACUCAGUUCCUGAGGACGGCUGCAAUGAGACAACCCACCAUGUACUCCUACAUGGCCUCUCACCGCUACCUUUACCAAAUCGUAUUCACACGCUUAGCUCUCAACAGUAGGACAUGUUCACACACCUCUGACUCAUCCCCGAUGAAUCAGACCUGACUCAACUCUAAGCAAUAGCAGGCAUGACAAACAAGCACGGAUGAGUAGGCACAUCAGGGCUCAAACAACUCCUACUCAUGCUAGUGGGUUUCAUCUAUUUACUGUGGAAUGACAGGUCAUGCAAAGGAUAAAGGGGUUCAGCUACCGCAGCAAGUAACAGAUGAAUCGUUGUUGUCCUAAUGCAGUAAAAGAGAGCAGGAGCGAGAGAGUGGGAUUGUAUCGGAAUGAACAAGGGGGUUUUGCUUGCCUGGCACUUCUGAAGAUAAUAUAGUUCUUCAUCGGUGUCAUCGAAUUCAUCGUCGGAACCAAGUCUAUCGAGAGGGGACAAAUACCGGCAACACAGAGAAAACACAAUCGAUGCAAUGCAACAAUAUGAUGCAUGAAUAUGACAUGGCAAAAUGAGUGUGUUUUGGCUAAUGCAACUUAGAACAGUUUAAAUGAAGUUGGUUUGAACCAAGGGUUCAAAUUCAAACUUCAUAUGUGAAAGUUUAGAUGCCAUUAUAUGAUUUGUGCUAAACAGCAGCUAUAAGUUUUUCUAACAUGCAUGAAAAUUGUACAGAUGGAUAGAUUGGAUUUUUCUGAUCAUUUUUCAUAUAUAAUUUAUUUCAUUUGGAGUUACAAUUGAAUUUCUAUGAUUUUUUGAAGUUUGGCUAAUUUUCUGGAAUUCCUGAUUUAAAUUAAAUCCAGAAAAUAAAUAAUUGCGACAGCAUUGCGUCACUAUGACGUCAAGAAGUCAACUGCGGCUGACUAGGUCAAACCUGACGUGUGGGGUCCACACGUCAGUGACAGGGGGUUAAACAGGGGUUAGUUUAAUCCCAAUUAAAAGAUUAGUGGCGCUGGGGCCCACUGGUCAGUGUCAGGGGUUAAUUAAGCGGUGAGGUUAGCAGCUAAUCACGCGCCAUGUCAGUCGCCGGAGUUUCGCCGGCGACGACCUCGAGCCACGGCGGAAGUUCGCCGGAACGAGCUGGAGGCCACGGUUUGGCACACGGAGGCCACCGGCGGGUAGCCCGUGCACGGGCGCAUCCAGCCGCGCCCAGGGGAGGCCGUGGGAACGGCGGAGCUCGCUGGAGCAGAGCUUGCGGCGGCGGCCGGAGUCGGGCGUGAGCGGGGAUGCGGCUGCGGUGUGCGAGGGCGAGAACGGAGAGGGGGAGGAGGAGCAGCAGCUCACAGCGAUCCGGAAGAGCAGCUCAGCGGGCUCGGGGACGCGCUGACGGCGGCGUAUGGUCGCCGGAGAUCUUCACGGCCGUGGGUUGAAGAAGGCGGCGGUGACGGCUCCACGGGGCGUCCGGCGUCUUGUGGCUUGACGGAGAGGACGAGGGAGUCAUGGCGGAGCUCGUGGACUCUACGGAGGGCCGAGGGGACGGCAGGGAGCGCGUCAGCGGUGAGCUGCGGCGGCGGCAGCGCUUCGGGCGCGGGGAAAAGGAGAGGUCCAGGGGAGGAGGGAGAGCGAGAGAGAGUGGGAGAGGACCGGGGCGGCGUGUGGCGACGUUCGGGACGAUCCAGGUGAUGAGAGGGAGAAGCAGGAGGUGGCCACGGCAAGUGCUCGCGCGUCGACACGCCUCUGCCUACUGGCAGAGGUUGAGGACGACCGCCUCGCGCUGGUGGGCUGGGCCACCUGCUGGGCCGCUGGGCCAGGCCAGGAUGCACGGGGGCUGCAAGGAGGUAAGCGCCAGGUAAGUCUCUUCUCCCUUUUAUUUUUAUUUUUCUAUUUUCUAACAUUUGUUUGGUUUAAUAAAAUACUAAACCAUUUUAUUUUCUUAUGCCAAUUUUUGUAGGAACUAGUGGUAUUAUUCCAGAGCUCCCCAACAAGUGGCACAAUUUUUGGACAUAUAUUAUAUAUAUAACAUAUAUAUAUAUCCAAUGCAAAUAAUUAUGCAUUAAUUCCAAUGGCCAAAAAUAAUUACUUCUGAGCUCCCAAAAAUAUUGGUUGGAAUUUUACCUCUGACCAAUAUUUUUAGAGAAAAACAGGAACAUUUACUUGGGCCAAAUUGAAGCAAUUUUUAUCUGAGUCAUUUCCAGAAAUGAUUAUGAGGGUUUCACAAAUCCUCAUUUCAAACUUAAAUGGAAUUUAAACAUGAUGCACACAUGACUAGCUAGUCUAGGUCAUACCAGAACUAGGGAUGUGACAACUCGCCCCCACUUAACAAGAAUCUCGUCCCGAGAUUCAAGCGUAGGAUAAGAUGAAAGGGAAGCGCAAACUAAUAUAAUCUUCACGAUCCAGGUUGCACUUCAAAUGAACGUUGAUUCGUUCACCAUCAUUGUCUCGAAGUCUUGCUCUGAGAACUCCAUCCCACAUGACAACAAGUAGAAAGGAAGAAUUUUAGAGGAAUCGAUCUUCCUGAGAUUCGAGCAACUUAGGAUCAUAUUAAUGAUCACAAGAUCAAUUCACGGAAUGAGACAUAGAAACAUUUGUGGAGUUGAGAGUCAAAACAUGCAUCAAGAGGGACGGAGGAAGCAAUUUGACGAGGGUUCCAAGUAGCGAGGAUAAACUGCCAUGAUUCCAUAACGGGGCACCUUAGGGAAGGUGGCUCGUAGAAUCAUCCCUUAAGUGGCAAAAAGAAUUACCUUUGAUUCAAUGAGGCUCUUUAUACCAGCUUAAGGCAAAUCACAAUCGAUCAUUUGAAGGAGUCCGAAAGAAGGACAUUCUCGGGCCAGAAUGGAUGAUGUGGACUACCUUGUUGAAGACAACACAAGGGAUGAUUUUGCUUAUCAUCGGAAAUGGAUGGGACCCAAGAUAGGAUGGCACAAUGACAGUGCAAGUUGGGAACAAAAUACAAGUGCUGGGAAUGAUUCUAGUAACUGGGGAGAAACUCAAUAGCAGAGAGUGAUUCCACUAUUGAAAUGGUUAUAGCAUAACCGGGGAAACUGAGAACAAUCCCGGUUAGUAACUAUGAUAGCACCUAAUGCUUGUGCGUGCUUUCAAAACUUGAGCAUUUCCAUAUUCAUCAAGGUUUUACCAACAUCCGUGUCAAGGGUGCUGACAACACAACAUACUACCAUGAUGAAUAGCGAUGGACGAUGCAGAUGCAAAGGAAGAUAACACUUCCUCAGAUUUCACCUUAGCGAGCCCAAGGGGACAUAAUCUGGAUGAUUGACCGAGAGACAUUUAGCACUCCGCUUCUAAUGUUCUCCUUGAUGUGCUGGUGUAUCCCAUUCAUAGAUAUGGUUUGAUAUCUAGAACAUCAGGUAAAAGGUCGGACUUCGGGAACACAAAAAUCAUAAGGCACAACUAGGGAGUAAAUCCUACGAAGUCCUUAUGGGAAGGUGGCCAACUUCUUCAAUCAAGAUACUACAAUAAUAGGUCUUCCGGCGGGGUGUGUUGGCCACGAUAUCCAUUUUACCGGUUAUCAUGAGACCAAUAUUAUAGUUCUUGGGAAAUGUUCCAACCAUCAUAUCUGCCUGAGAUUCAGAUCUGGUUGGUGUCAGAAUAAUCCAGACUCAUCGGGUCUGGAAAGAAAAAUGAAAGUUUGCAACACAAAUCGACGAGAUGACGUUUCGAGAUUCUCGGGAAAUGAACUACGAUAGCAAGCUCCAAAACAUGAGCUGGUUCUGCUACAAACAUGUGAACACGUUGUCCCAGACAAACAUGAUCCCAUGAUAGUCUUACAAUAAAACACUAGCGAGUUCCGGUGGGGAACCAUCAUCGAGGAUAACGAAAUCUUGUACAAAUCCGUCUGGUACCUUCAGGACUAGUACUUAGAACUUAUUAUCCUUGAACAAAUCAACCAGUGGCUUGGUGUGCUAGGAAUACGAAUGGGGUGGAGGUAAUUAAUCUACCAAACCAUGGAAUACUUUGCACGUAUGCAUGACUGAUUUGGGAUGAUUCCCGGGGAACAAAAACAAUCUUUCUCGAACUCACGGCGGCAACUUGCACCAAGUACCGUGAAUUAGAGGAAGUCACUUCUUUCACCCAACAUAGACUUCAUGAACGGAAUAUGAAGAUAAUGCUUAUAGAAGUUUCCAACACUAGCUUAAUGUUCAACAAAAUCAUGGAGGAGAUAAGGAUGUUGUCGAUGGGAUCAACAACAAUUUAUCCAGAUUCCCAUGGAGAUGGAAUUCCAUAACUAUGUGGACAAGGUGAUAGUAUUGGUCAGACCCAAAAGAUAUAAUGGUGUAUGCCCGAGGAAAAUCCACGAGUAAGACAACAUUACGAACAUCGUUGGUUCUGAUUUGAUUUGAUGAUAGCUCAAACUCAAAUCAAGGGUUUGGGGUAAGACAAUAAAUCCAACAAUGGACUACGAGGAUCAAUCAAUGAAGAUAUCAUCUUUCUUCAACACACACACACACACACAAAGAUAUCCCUUUGGAAUGAACUGAGUCGGACAAGAUUUCAUCUUCCAACUCUCCAAGUUGUUGUUUAGCUUAACCAACCAGCUCAGGGGUAUCCAACACGGCUUCUUGGAGAAAGGGUGGUUUCAAAAACCAACUUGAUCACGAGCUCAACAUAGCGGUCAGGUGACAUCCUGGUGAUACCUCCGAGAAGACAUUCGGAGAAUCACGAACCACCGAUAUGUUACUAAGCUCGAGAACAACCUUGCUUUUCAGGGCAAGACGAUAUGACCAGAAGAGCGAGGGAUUGCCAAAAUCCUAACUCAUUGAUCGAAGGGUGCACCAGGAAAUAAGGACUAGGUAGCACCAUCAGUCUUAGAAUGAUGAUUCAAGAACCAACACACUAAGAAUGAAAUUAUUGUCCAUUAACUACCAAGCAACACAGUUGCUAGGAGUAUUGAGUUCACACACCAUGAUUCACUUGUCGGCAUUCCGGUUACAAUAACAUGGAAACCGAGGAAUGAACAAUGAUGGCAAGAAGUAUCACUGUAUCAAGAGUUCAUAGGAUGGUGUGCAAUUCCCAUGACAUUCUUGAUAUAAAGAUGGUAAUACUCCAAGGUAGAACAGAGCAAAAGCUGGAUUGGCAAUUGAUCUGCAGAACACGACUACUUUGACCACUCCAAGAAAUGGAUAAGGUGCUGGAGUUUGUUUCUCCUAGUCAUUCCGGAAUAGAAUGGCUUGACGGACCACAAAAGUAAUAGGUAUCGAUGAACGAAUGCACGCAUACUCUUGACUAUCAAAUGAUAGACGGGGGUCAGAAUACAGCUAAAGAGAACAACUCAAAGGAACAUAUAAUUUUCUGAGUUGUGGAUGCAUAGAUUAGUAUGUCGAGCGAAGCUCAACAUUUCUUCCGGAUAACCCAUGCGGAAAGGUAGAACUGGCAGAUUCACAAUAUAGAAUGGAGGACUCAUCAUGAGUACCCUGGUUGUGAUCUUUUGAUCCAACAAACUUCUGCCAUAAGUGGUUCAUAGUAUUUGGAAGAAGGAAAUACCACGGACCUCGAGGACUAAUGCAAAGGUUACUAAUAACCUAAAGGAACUAGCAACACUAUCAACACGAGGUAAGUGGAGUGAAUCUUGGGUCAAGAACCCAGGAGUAGAAUACCUACUACUAAAUGGCAUCACGGGAUGCUUUCGAGAAGAAAGGCCAGAAUCAUCACACUGGGAUACAAAUCAUGGCUAGAUUACUAGAUGAUCCCAUAAGACACCUAGGGUCAUAAUAAUAGUUCCAACAUAUAUGUCAAGGCAAUAGAAUACCUCAACUCAGCAAUUAGUGUGAUUAACCUGGCCCAAAGGAACAUCAAAACCAGAAGGAAAGGAUUUGCAAGUGCAUCAGAUUGUUUAGAAACCUGGGAUGACUCGGACAGCAUAACGGCUGUAAAUGCUCAAAAGAUUGGAGACAUGCUACAAAAUGGUGGCAUAGCCACUCCGAAGCACAAUAUCAAGGUUUCGAGAUCAAUAGUUAUGAACAUACGGAAGUAGUAAAAUUGAGCUGAGAUUUGAAACUAACAAUUCUAUAAGUCUAUGGAUUUGUAACACGUCAUCCUAAUAGAUAGAUGAGAAGGCCUAGUUCUUAAUCCCCAUAGAAGAGAAGAGGAUGACUCAGAUCAGAAGGCCAUGAGGUAUAAGGAGUAAAAAGAGCCUUACGUUCCCUCCCACAAUCAAUUCCCUUACAUAACCAAAGCAUUUCUAGACUCAACUUCGACCAGUUUGGCUUGGUAAUCCUACAGGCAGUCAGGCUCUGAUACCAAAGCUGUCAGGACCCCGACUCAAUGCCACAUCGAUCUAGUAUGUAACACCUCAUAUCACUUUGCGGCCUCACGCACGGUAUUCCCACAGGUGUCGCCUUACCUUUGCCCGGGACCGUUUGCGCCUUUUGGCACACGUAUAUGAUAGUGUUGCUAGCAUCCAUAUGAUAAGGAGCCCGGGCUGACAUGGCUAGUCGUAAACCCAAAGUGGCACAAACCUACAGGGACAGGCAUUCAUGACCCAGCAUCGAACGUGUCGGUCAUCAGCGAGUGAAUCCAGGCUGUAGCACUGGGCUAGCAGGACUCCGGUGAACCGGGCUGUAGCGGGCUAGCAGGACUCUGGUAUUCAUCGCGUGACAUUUCCCCGAAGGGACAGACAUAGGAACGAAGAAGGACACAUGCCGGCCAGCCUAAGUGUUCCGGAGCAGUAGCAAGCUACCAUGGCUCGGUAGAAACACUAGGAGACAUUUCCCGGUAAGAGAGGCUACUAAAGAUAAACAACUAGAUAGUCAGAUCCCACACAUACCAAGCAUUUCAAUAACAUAAACACAAUAUGCUCGAUAUGUGCAAAUACAACAUGGAAUCACAACAUGACUCUACGACUCAAGUAUUUUAUUCAAUAGGCUCCGAGGAGCGAGAUAUUACAAACAUGGGUCUCAUGACCCAACAUCCAGAGCAUACAAGUCAAAGCACAAGCGGAAGCUUAACAUGUCUGAGUACAGACACCUACCGAUGAAAAAGGCUGAGAAGCCUGACUAUCUACCAGAUCCUACCGAGGCCACAAGAUCGUAGCUGAGGUAACAAGCUAAACGUCGAAGUCCACGCGGAACUACUAGCGAGACUGAAGUCUCUCUACAAAAACGUAAAAUAGGCAAACGUGAGUACAAAUGUACCCAGCAAGACUUACAUCAGAACUAACUACAUAUGCAUCAUUAUCAACAAAGGGGGUGGUGGAGUUUAACUGCAGCAAGCCAGCUUUGACUCGGUGGCUAACCUGAACUACGACUGCAAGUAACUCUUUGAGGUGGCGCACACGAGUCCACAUAUUCACCAUAUCAAUACACCACUAUGGAUCCGCUCCCGUCUCCCUAUGAGAACGCCAUCCAUAGCACUCCCGCUUAUCUUGCAUAUUUUAGAGUAUCCACUUUCACUUGUCUAUGAACUAUGCAAGGGGUCCAAGUUUCCAUAUCCGAGGAAUCCGGCUAUUCGAAUAGAUAAUGAUAACCCUGCAGGGGUGUACUUCUUCACACACGCUCUCGCCACUUAUCGCCCUGUACACGUCAUGUACCUCGGCAACCUUCAAGCGGAAGCCGGGCGAGGGAGUCGGCCACGACCUACCUAAACACUCAAGUCUCUCGUCCAGGUUUAUCGCCUAUUCGGGUUCCAUCCGCAAGGAGAUCCGGCCGGGGUGUCGCUCACGGCCCCAAACGAUGUGUGCAGGGUUCCCGAGCCCACCAUCCGGG